CUCCAGAAUAUUUUAGAAAUGCUGUCAUUAAAUGAGCAUCAAAAAUAUAAACGUUUUCUGGGCUAGGACUCCAGACCCUCCUAUUUUCCUCACAAAUUACUUACGUGCUGGGGUAAAGGAAAAGAAGCUAAAAUUGGGGCGAGCGAAGCUCCUCAAAAGAGAUUAGAGUGGGAGAACCUAAUAUUCUUUGCUACCUCAAAUGCAAAUUUAAGGUUGUUAUAUAUUGAGUAUCCAUGAUUCUCAUUUACAUAUUUUGAAACAUCUUUUGUGAGUGGUUGGGUAAAACAAAUCUUUGCCAGAACUUAAGAGCCUCUAGAUUCAAAUUAUUUAAGGGAACACCCCCUAUAGCUCCCGCAUCCAAAAUCGAGUUUGUCUGGCCUUUCUCCAAUUCUCCCACACAACCACACCAUUAUUGUGUCACCUAUAUGCAGGUAAAAAUCCUUCGACGUCCCAGUCAAACACCCGUUGCCUUCGUAACAUCCCUAUAUUUGCAGUUCUAAAUUUUUCUUAAAAUAAACCCUGCACACAAUAUUUUAAAUCUCCCCCCUCCCCCCCCCUCGUCGACCGACUUUUUCGGUAAAAAAAAAAUUCCGACGGGUCUCCCCCCUGACUACGGCGCCACUGCCGAGCCCGCGUUAAAAAUUCACUUGUAAAAAAACAGACUGUUUUAAACUUCAUCAGAUAUAAUCCUCAUUUAAUACAUAUUGAAAAAAUUAGGGUUAGAAAAGGUGUGUGUUUCAAGCUGUGUGCCGCAAAUAAGUGAACAAGAUUUUAGGUUUCACACCGAUGCCCAGCAAAGCAUAUAUUCUACAGAAUUUUUGCAUUAUUGACAGCAUGAGGCUAUAUAAUCAAGGAUUCCCUUUUUUACACAAUACAUAUUAUACAUUUUAUCAGGGGCCCCCCAAAAUUUUGCCAGGGGGUGGGGGGGGGGGCGGGCCCCCCGACCCCAGUCCUGGCUACGCCUCUGUUUUAUUCAUCUGCAUGGAGUAGGCACACGGGUGCCAAAACUAAAGGCGGUUUUCUUCUAGGCGAAAUUUUUCGAUCGAACCGAAAGUUCUAUUGUUCAAAUUCAAAAGAUUUCUCAUUAGUUCCAUCUGAGUGCUACAAUCCUGGAAAAAAAUUAGUAGACUUCUUAAAUUUUCAAACUUUGUCCCCCUCCCCCCUUAUACAAUGUUGG
Non-coding RNA from Paramuricea clavata, 1177 nucleotides. The record is from the annotation of a GenBank genome assembly. Lineage: Eukaryota; Metazoa; Cnidaria; Anthozoa; Malacalcyonacea; Plexauridae.